GUUACCAGCCUCUUGCAUCCCUCUAGUACAAGUGUCUGAAGACGAGAGAUUUUCUUAACCCACAGAGGAAUUUCUUGUAUUUCUACAUCGUUAAAGUAAAGCUUUGUGAUGAUAUCGAGAGCAUGUGGGAAUUCCUUGAGAUUGUCAUUGUAUGACAUUUCCAAGUUACGAAGAUGAGACCAUGACUUGAUCGUCGAAGGCACUUCUUUUAUUGCAGUUUUCAUGAGCAUGAGAUCCUUGAUGUUUGUGGAGAUCUCCGGAAAACUUUUGAUCAGUAAGCAAGCGGUGAGAUCAAGGUUAUUGAGAGAUUCCAAGUUGAUAUUAGUAGGAAGAGCCUCUAGCUGUAAGCAAUCAGUGAGAUCAAGGGCAUUGAGAGAUUCCAAGUUGAUAUUAGUAGGAAGAGCCUCUAGCUUUGAGCAUCCUUGUAA
Molecule: long non-coding RNA, 428 nt
Filed under: Arabidopsis lyrata
Lineage: Eukaryota; Viridiplantae; Streptophyta; Magnoliopsida; Brassicales; Brassicaceae
Description: long non-coding RNA (ALYR_LNC001112)
Source: RNAcentral